UUAUUCUCUACUGUGUGUGUGUGUGUGUGUGUGUGUGUGUGUGUGUGUGUGUGUGUGUGUGUGUGUGUGAGCAUCUUGUCAAGUCCAGGUGCUUACUACACCCGGGACAGCUUCAGAGAUGCGACCUCCACGUGCUCCAAUCUCCUCUCACAGACAGACACUUCUGCUGGACUUGUUCCUUCUCAUCUGUCCUCAGAUGGUUCCACAGACCCUGGACAGCAAGGAAACAGUCAUCUCCCUAAGACUGGGCCAACAUUCCCAUCCCCAUUCUUCUAGGUUCCCUAGAGACGCGUCACCCUGAAGCCAGCAGGAAGUAGCUAGAGAUUACAACAACCCUAUUCCUGCACCGCCAUCACCUCUUACAAUUUUUUUCUUUUUUAAUUAAACCAAAAUGGGGGAAUGUUAGCAUUUUGUCUAAGCUCAGCUCCACAGUUACCUGGCAACAGCCAGGUAUGCCUGACUCACUAUAAAAGGGGCUGCUUGCCCCUCCACUGUAGUUCUAUCUCGCUCUUUCUCUUCUUGUUCCCACUCUGUCCCCUCACCCCUUUCCCUCUCCAUGUGCUCAUGGCCUUCCUUUCUCUCUAUUCUCUCUCCCUCCCUCCCUCCCUCCCUCCCUCCCUCCCUCCUUCCCUUCCUCUUCUAGUACCCUCUCAAUUCUCCUCCCCAUGCCCUAAAUAAACUCUUUUCUUAACUCUAUUCUAUACUAUACUGUCCUGUGGCUGGUCCCUCAGGGGAAAGUGAUGCCUCAGCAUGGGCCCAUGGAGGCACCCAUUUCCCCCAUACCUUACCACACAUUCACCAAAACAUAGUCCUCCUCUCUUUAUCUUUUUAUAAACACAACACCACCAGCCUUCCUGGUUUUCUCAGGAUUAUUUGGAACAAAGUAAAUUCACCCUGUGAGCAUCCAGGUUCCGGCUAGAUGAUUCCAGCCUCCAGCCUGGGCAGCAUCCUUGGACUAAUGAAGCCCUUGACAAGCUUGAAACCUGCCCCAGUGAUGUCCCCUCAUUCCUUUGCAACCCAACUGAUCAAGAGGCCCACAGCUCCAAUACAGAUGCAUCCCGCAGGGGCUACCCAUUGGAAAAACAUCUGCAGUAGCCUUGGCAAGUAUCAGAUUCUCUCCAGAGACCUGCCACGUGGUAUUUGGGAAUCCCUGAAUCCCGGAAUGCUUUUCUCCACUAACACCCAGCUUUGUCUCCAGGGCCAUCUCUCACACGGGCAUUAAGCUCUUCUGAUAUCAUGGAGGUUUCCAAGGAUUUAUUUCCAUCCUGUCCUCAUCUGCUUCAGCUUGUCUGCCCCAGAAUGUACCUACUUGGAUUCCUGGUCUCAAGAACUUUCAGCUGGGUCUGGUCAAGACAAGCACAUCAAGCUACAACAUUUGCUUCAUUUUCCCUACCCCUGACCCAAGGAUAUCUCAACACCCAUGUACAGCUUGAAGAAGUUAUUGAAGAGUCAUUGCCCUGAUUCCCUGGAUUUUUAGGGGGUUGAAAGUAGUUAUUCUAAAGUUGUUUUAUGCAGAAUUUAGAAAUAGUUGUAAUUUAACAGGGGGAAAUUAGCUAGAUUGAGUUGUGCAGCCAUAAUCUCAUUUGGUAACUAAGCUAAAAUCAUAUCUUUUCUUUGUUAUAGAAUUUAUUUGUUUAAAAAGUUUAAAAAUACAAGGUUUAGAGCCAGUCCUUCUAUUUGCUUUUUUUUUUUCCGGGGCUGGGGACCGAACCCAGGACCUUGCGCCUCCUAGGCAAGCGCUCUACCACUGAGCCAAAUCCCCAACCCCCCAGUCCUUCUAUUUGAUGCCAUUACGAACUACUCAGUUGAUUACACAUGUGACUUAAGGGCCAAAUAGCAAAUGAGUGGCUCUGAGUUUGUGAGAAUAAUUUCAAGAUAAUAUAUUACGAUAUAAGGACAACAGUCCAGAUUACCUUAUAUAGGUAGAUGUUUUUCAAAAACAUCAGAAAUCCACAAAAUAUGAAAUUUAAAGUUAGUUAUCUUUUGUUGAGACAUAUCUGCUCCUAGCAGUUCCCCUUUGGUGGAUUUAACGAAGAAAAUGAACAUCACUACCUCCAGGUGAGGUAAUACUUUGUGGCUAGGCAGCCACUGGGCAGAAACUGCCUGUUUCAUCUGCAGACUGCUGCUGUCCAAAAAGGGACACUUUAUGCAGAAUAGUUGUUGACUGAUAAUCUCUACGGAGCCAGAAUUAUCAGCCCUUUGAGGUUUCUGCAUUUCAAGGGUGUCAGUUGAUUUGGGGCCAGAAGGCUGAAGACUUGCACUCACAUGUUGCUAACAGAGGACUGUGCUAGUGGGAUUUGUCGCUACAACCUCUCAGUUCUGGAAGCUGUGUUAGGCUUCCUAUGUGUAUAGAUAUUUGGCCAUUCUUAUAUUUCUGAUGGUGUUGAAGACUGAUUAUAGUCUUAUAGCAUAUCAGGUUGUUUAACUCUGAAAAUACAUAUUUUAUUAGAUGGUUAUCAGAUAGUGUACAAGCUAGCCAGGAUAUAACAUAGAUUGUAAGCCUUUCUUAAGCUGGAAUGGAUAACUAAAUGUUCUGUUUAACUGAUAAAGUGUUGGACUGGGUGUUAGAUAAUAUUUUAUGCUUUUAAUUACAAAAUGAUAAUAGUUGUACUCAGUUUAUAUUUGAGGGGAAAAGUUUUUUUAAUUAGGCAAAAAGGGUGAAAUGUAGGAUGAUGUCAUACGGGUGAAGGCAGGUACAAGAUAGAAUGAGGCCUGUCAUUGGAUGAGAAGGAAGGAUGGGUGGGAGAAAAGUUUGGGGAAGAGGAGGAGACUGGAACAGAAGGAAACUGGAGGAGAAGCAGGGGAGAGAACAUGGAGGCUGACGUUAAGAUUCCACUCUGUGUAUUUACAGGUUGUUACAAAUAUUCUUAAGGAAUGGAUGUGUACAGGCCUUUGUAUGUUUAGGUGGGCAAUUAUAUCUUAUCAAUUGGAUUGGAGGUUAUUGUGUUGUGUGUUCUUUGAUGUGGCGAUUGAAGUUCAAGAGAGUAUGUGGUGGCAGGACACUGGGCUGCCACGGAAUUGGGAUGUAUAUUUCUGGCAUGGUGGCAACCUGCCUUGGGAACCAGAUGGGUAGAGAGAUUGCUGCCAGGCUCAGAGAGAAGCCUUCAGCAAUGUGAAGUGGAAUAGAGCAAAGCGGGUGAGAGGCUUUGCUGACUGUGAUUAAGACAUCUAUCAGAGAUCUUGAGGCACUGCAGUGCCGGAUCUAGUGUGGGGUAAAAGACAACCUUUUUUUUUUUUUUUUUAUUAUUUCACAGCAACAGAUGAGCAAAUAAAUUAUUUUUUUCCUUUUCUUUUCCACUCUUUAUACAAAGCUGCUAAGGUGACCAAAUCCUCUUUAUGACUGAGCCAUUUUCUGCAUAUAAACAUAAUACUGGUUUUCUCGACAUGAUCACUCAAAGCUAUUGAAUUAUUUCAAAAAGGAUUCUGAAAUUUCUCCAACCCUUCUCUUAGGGUUGGGUGGGCUGCUAACAUUAUGUGUGGGUGUGCUCGCCCCUCAGUGCAUGGAUCCUGUAUACAAGGACAUCACCCUAGAUGUCCUUGGCAGAAGUAUUUGGUCCAAGGAGCAUGAGGAAAUAAAAGCCUUGCAGGGCUGCAAGAAAAGAAUCCCGAGUUAUGUUAGCUGAAGGGAAAGAGAGAGGGAUCCGUCUGGAAUGAGGGAGCAGUCGAACUUAGGAGUUACCAAUGAUUAUGGGAGACUGGAAGAGAGAUGAGAGAUUAUGACAAGAGCUGGGAAGGUGGAGACAUUCUCCUGUAGUUAUCUGACGACGACAGCUUCAGGCUCUGUCAAUCUAUGUCAUGUUUCUUCUGACCAUAGCCUAUUAUGCAAGUUACAUCUGUGAGGUAAAUAUGAAAUAAAUUUAGAUUAUUGUAGGCUUCCCAGUCCCCUCUGAGAACUCACAAGGUCUAGAUCCCUGGGAAAUGCUCACAGUGCAACUCCAAGACCACGUUCCUAAUUCAAGGCGUUGAGUGAUGGGCUAAGAGAUUGUCCUAGACUUCUAGAGCACCCUUCUGGUCCUCCUGUGAUGGGUGACUUCGCUCUGAUCUCCACAGAUAAAGGAUGCAUAAAGGAGCAUUUACGUUUCAAAUAACUUUCCUCCUUUGUAUCUCUCCUCGUGUGAUUUCUACAAAGCUGACUGGUGAUAUCCACUCACCCAUUUUAAAAAGUAAUAUGUUACUCUCUUUUUCUAAAUGUUUUUAAUUAAAAUAGAAUUGCAUCACUUCCUCCCUCCCAUUCCUCACUCCAGGCCUUCCCAGAUACCCUCUCACUCCCCUCACUAUUAAGUCAAGAGCCUUUGUUCUUUUCUUUGAUUUAAGCGUUAAAUAUGUGUAUAUAAAUAUACAUAAAUAAAACCUUCUGCGUUUGGUCUUGUUGUGGUGCAUAUGGUUUCAAGGCUGAUCACUCUGCAUUGGACAGCCAAUAAGGAGGCUCAUCCCUGGGAGGGGGGGAACUCUCCUUCUCCCAGCAGCCAAUAGUUCUUUGUCUAGGGGGUAGGACCCAUGAACUAUUCCACCUUCCUUGUGAACUUGUCCCUUGAGAGUGCCAUUGUUCCAGCCCUGCCUAUUCAGCCAUUUCUAGAAGACACUGCUUCUCAGGAGAUAUCUAGGUACUCUAGCUCCUACAGUCUUUUUUUUAAAGUCACAAUUCUAUACCUAUACAGGACUCCAGAAAGGAAUAACAAAGUAUCAUCUCAGGUUCCCUAGACCUCCUCUAAAAUCCAGGCAACAUUGUUACUCUGAGCUUCUUUGGUGCCCAAGGCGUCCCAGUGAUCCUAGUAUGAUAAAUAAGAAAGCAAGAGAACUGGCUUUGGUGAGGUGGGGACCAAGAAAGAGGAAAGGAGGGCCUGCCUGGAGGGCUGAGGGAUAGGCAUGCAGAGAGGUAGGGCUCUCUGCACGGCCGGCCAGCGUGGGCAGACAACCUGGGAGGUGGAGAUACCAUCACCGAGUCAGGAAGAACAAGAGACGUAAGUACCUGGUUCUGGGCCAGAGAAGCAAUGGCAGACGCUAAGAAUCCAGGAACCCUUCUGGCUGAACACAGUCCCAGCUUGGUACCCUCUGUCCCUUCAAGGACCUUUGUUCUCUUCAGGCACAGAAUGUGUGCUUUGCUCUAUUGAGUUUUAAUCACAUCUUAAUACCCAGGUGACUGUCUUGUUGUUGAAGGAGAGGCAUGGGACUAGAGACAAGUUGGAGCAUAGAUGGUCACUGUCAGCCUCAUGAGACCCCUGAAUGGCCUUCUACUGCCCUGGGCCCCUGCAUUGUAGACUGGGGACCACCCACAGGCGUCUACUCCUUUUGCCCCUACAGGCCUAGCAGGCAGACUUCAGGGCUUAGGACCGAGUUUGUCAUUGCUUUCCCUGUGGUGAUGUGGGUAGAAUGAGGGCCCACCACACAGUGCUUAUCCGCAUACUGGUCUUGGGAACUAGUCAGAGAUCCUAUGAUAAUUUUUUCAAAAUCUCUCUCUCUCUCUCUCUCUCUCUCUCUCUCUCUCUCUCUCUCUCUCUCUCUCACACACACACACACACACACACACACACACACACACACAUAUGCUUUGAAAGUUUGCUCAAAUAAUAAUAAUAUAAAAUUUGCAGGGAAAUGGGUAAAGUAGUUUAUUAAAUGAGAUGGCCCGGACUCAGAGAGAGAGAAGAAUCCCACAUUCUCUCGAAUAUGCUUAGUCCAGGGAGUGGCACUAUUAGAAGGUGUGACCUUGUCAUUGUGGGUCUUGUCUUUACGACCCUCAUCCUAGCUCCCUGGAAGCCAGUCUUCUCUUAGCCGCCUUCAAAUGAAGAUGCAGAACUCUCAGCUCCUCCUGCACCCUGCCUGCCUGGAUGCUGCCGUGCUCCUGCCUUGAUGAUACUGGACUGAACCUCUGACCCUGUAAGCCAGCCCCAAUUAAAUGUUGUCCUUAUAA
This is a non-coding RNA of Rattus norvegicus (Norway rat), 5908 nucleotides long. NCBI's taxonomy places the organism in Eukaryota, Metazoa, Chordata, Mammalia, Rodentia, Muridae. The record is from RefSeq and is a predicted model, not a curated record.